UUUUACGGAGAGUUUGAUCCUGGCUCAGGACGAACGCUGGCGGCGUGCUUAACACAUGCAAGUCGAACGAUGAACUGGAGCUUGCUCCAGGGAUUAGUGGCGAACGGGUGAGUAACACGUGAGUAACCUGCCCUUGACUCUGGGAUAAGCGCUAGAAAUGGCGUCUAAUACCGGAUACGAGCUUCAGCCGCAUGGCUAGGA
RNAcentral lists this ribosomal RNA (201 nucleotides) under Frigoribacterium sp. VKM Ac-2836. RNAcentral describes it as "partial 16S ribosomal RNA". It matches the Rfam family "Bacterial small subunit ribosomal RNA", at positions 1 to 199 of the family's 1533-position model. Lineage: Bacteria; Bacillati; Actinomycetota; Actinomycetes; Micrococcales; Microbacteriaceae. The record is from RNAcentral.